UAGUCCACGCCGUAAACCAUGCAGAUUAGGAAGUAGCCUAUUAUGUUACUUUCGCAGCUAACGCGUUAAAUCUGCCGCCUGGGAAGUACGGCCGCAAGGCUAAAACUCAAAGGAAUUGGCGGGGAUCCGCACAAGCAGUGGAGCGCCUUCUUUAAUUCGAUGAUAAGCGAAGGACCUUACCUGGGUUUGACAUGCUACUGCACGCUCUCCGAAAAGAGAGCAGCCUUCGAGGGUGUAGCACAGGUGUUGCACGGCUGUCGUCAGCUCGAGUCGUGAGAUGUUCGGUUAAGUCCGUUAUCGAGCGCAACCCCUACCGUAUGUUGUAUCACUCUUACGGAACUGCCCCGGCAACGGGGAGGAAGGAGGGGACGACGGUCAAAGUCAGCGUGGCCCUUAUGUCCAGGGCGAGAAAGGCGCUACAAUGGCACGUACAAUGGGCAGCAACAUAGCGAUAUGAAGCCAAUCCCAAAAAGCGUGUCCCAGUCCGGAUUGGAGUCUGCAACUCGACU
This 509-nucleotide ribosomal RNA is filed under the name uncultured bacterium. RNAcentral's name for it is "bacterial SSU rRNA". It matches the Rfam family "Bacterial small subunit ribosomal RNA", at positions 791 to 1317 of the family's 1533-position model. The record is from RNAcentral.